GCCUCUGUGGUGAAACUGGUUAGACACAAGGGACUUAAAAUCCCUCGGAUUUAUCCAUGUAGGUUCAACUCCUAUCAGAGGUA
Molecule: transfer RNA, 83 nt
Filed under: Bacteriophage sp.
Also listed under: 1 other name
Description: tRNA-Leu
Rfam family: tRNA
About the family: Transfer RNA (tRNA) molecules are approximately 80 nucleotides in length. Their secondary structure includes four short double-helical elements and three loops (D, anti-codon, and T loops). Further hydrogen bonds mediate the characteristic L-shaped molecular structure. tRNAs have two regions of fundamental functional importance: the anti-codon, which is responsible for specific mRNA codon recognition, and the 3' end, to which the tRNAs corresponding amino acid is attached (by aminoacyl-tRNA synthetases). tRNAs cope with the degeneracy of the genetic code in two manners: having more than one tRNA (with a specific anti-codon) for a particular amino acid; and 'wobble' base-pairing, i.e. permitting non-standard base-pairing at the 3rd anti-codon position.
Source: RNAcentral